CCUACGGGAGGCAGCAGUGAGGAAUAUUGGUCAAUGGACGAGAGUCUGAACCAGCCAAGUAGCGUGAAGGAUGACUGCCCUAUGGGUUGUAAACUUCUUUUAUAUGGGAAUAAAAUGUUCCACGUGUGGGAUUUUGUAUGUAUCAUAUGAAUAAGGAUCGGCUAACUACGUGCCAGCAGCCGCGGUAAUACGGAGGAGCCGAGCGUUAUCCGGAUGUAGUGGGUUUAAUGGGAGCGGAGGUGGAUUGUUAAGUCAGUUGGGAAAGUGUGCGGCUCAAACGUAAAAUUGCAGUUGAAACUGGCAGUCUUGAGUACAGUAGAGGUGAGCGGAAUUCGUGGUGUAGCGGUGAAAUGCUUAGAUAUCACGAAGAACUCCGGUUGCGAAGGCAGCUCACUGGACUGCAACUGACACUGAGGCUCGAAAGUGUGGGUAUCAAACAGGAUUAGAUACCCCAGUAGUC
This 460-nucleotide ribosomal RNA is filed under the name uncultured bacterium. RNAcentral's name for it is "partial 16S ribosomal RNA". It matches the Rfam family "Bacterial small subunit ribosomal RNA", at positions 338 to 795 of the family's 1533-position model. The record is from RNAcentral.